UCUAGUUGAAGAUAUGGAUCCACUUUGGUUGUUUGGGUUGAUCAUUGAAACUUAGGUUAUCUUGAUUGAUUCAAUAGGUUAGUUAUGGGGAUGGAAAAUGCUUCACACCACCAUGUCUUUCCUUAUGAACAAAUUAAUUAGGGAACGUCCUCUAAUCAAUUACUAAUCAACAAAUUGCCAAGGAACGUCCUUGGGCCUAAGGCAUCAAAACAAUUGUCAAUUGCAUAAAGAACUAGAAAGAUCCAACCCUAGCUACUCCAAACGCUUGA
This 269-nucleotide long non-coding RNA is filed under the name Manihot esculenta (cassava). RNAcentral describes it as "long non-coding RNA (MESC_LNC010116)". The record is from RNAcentral. Lineage: Eukaryota; Viridiplantae; Streptophyta; Magnoliopsida; Malpighiales; Euphorbiaceae.